UGGCUCAGUGGUAGAGCGCUUGCCUUGCAUGCACGAGGCCCUGGGUUCAAUUCCUCAG
RNAcentral lists this transfer RNA (58 nucleotides) under Dipodomys ordii (Ord's kangaroo rat). It matches the Rfam family "tRNA", at positions 8 to 63 of the family's 71-position model. Rfam says of the family: Transfer RNA (tRNA) molecules are approximately 80 nucleotides in length. Their secondary structure includes four short double-helical elements and three loops (D, anti-codon, and T loops). The record is from Rfam by way of RNAcentral. Lineage: Eukaryota; Metazoa; Chordata; Mammalia; Rodentia; Heteromyidae.